This 467-nucleotide ribosomal RNA is filed under the name uncultured bacterium. RNAcentral's name for it is "partial 16S ribosomal RNA". It matches the Rfam family "Bacterial small subunit ribosomal RNA", at positions 28 to 506 of the family's 1533-position model. The record is from RNAcentral.
GACGAACGCUGGCGGCGUGCUUAACACAUGCAAGUCGAACGGAAAGGCCCUGCUUUUGUGGAGUGCUCGAGUGGCGAACGGGUGAGUAACACGUGAGUAACCUGCCCUUGACUUUGGGAUAACUUCAGGAAACUGGGGCUAAUACCGGAUAGGAGCUCCUGCUGCAUGGUGGGGGUUGGAAAGUUUCGGCGGUUGGGGAUGGACUCGCGGCUUAUCAGCUUGUUGGUGGGGUAGUGGCUUACCAAGGCUUUGACGGGUAGCCGGCCUGAGAGGGUGACCGGCCACAUUGGGACUGAGAUACGGCCCAGACUCCUACGGGAGGCAGCAGUGGGGAAUAUUGCACAAUGGGCGGAAGCCUGAUGCAGCAACGCCGCGUGCGGGAUGACGGCCUUCGGGUUGUAAACCGCUUUCGCCGGUGACGAAGCGUGAGUGACGGUAAUGGGUAAAGAAGCACCGGCUAACUACGU